CAGUUAUCAUGGUACCGGUGCUGU
RNAcentral lists this microRNA (24 nucleotides) under Lepisosteus oculatus (spotted gar). RNAcentral's name for it is "Loc-Mir-101-P2-v2_5p* (star (passenger))". The record is from RNAcentral. Lineage: Eukaryota; Metazoa; Chordata; Actinopteri; Semionotiformes; Lepisosteidae. RNAcentral also lists the same sequence under 2 other names.